CCUACGGGGUGCAGCAGUGGGGAAUAUUGCACAAUGGGGGAAACCCUGAUGCAGCGACGCCGCGUGAGUGAAGAAGUAUUUCGGUAUGUAAAGCUCUAUCAGCAGGGAAGAAAAUGACGGUACCUGAUUAAGAAGCCCCGGCUAACUACGUGCCAGCAGCCGCGGUAAUACGUAGGGGGCAAGCGUUAUCCGGAUUUACUGGGUGUAAGGGGAGCGUAGACGGCAGCACAAGUCUGGAGUGAAAUGCCGGGGCUUAACCCCGGAACUGCUUUGGAAACUGUGCAGCUAGAGUGCAGGAGAGGUAAGUGGAAUUCCUAGUGUAGCGGUGAAAUGCGUAGAUAUUAGGAGGAACACCAGUGGCGAAGGCGGCUUACUGGACUGUAACUGACGUUGAGGCUCGAAAGCGUGGGGAGCAAACAGGAUUAGAUACCCCAGUAGUC
This 440-nucleotide ribosomal RNA is filed under the name uncultured bacterium. RNAcentral's name for it is "partial 16S ribosomal RNA". It matches the Rfam family "Bacterial small subunit ribosomal RNA", at positions 338 to 795 of the family's 1533-position model. The record is from RNAcentral.